Long non-coding RNA from Pipistrellus kuhlii (Kuhl's pipistrelle), 1457 nucleotides. RefSeq lists it as uncharacterized. The record is from RefSeq and is a predicted model, not a curated record. The transcript is spliced from 3 exons. NCBI's taxonomy places the organism in Eukaryota, Metazoa, Chordata, Mammalia, Chiroptera, Vespertilionidae.
AGGUGUGGGUUUGUAUGUUACAAGAUGUAUAUAUGGUACUGUGUGCCCACCACCCAAAGUCCAAUCAUCUUCUGUAAUCAUAUACUAGGACCCUUAAGCCCCCACCCCCUUCCUCUGGCGACCACCACACCGCUGUUUGUGUUCAUGAGUGUCCAUUUUGUAGCCCCCGUAUGAGUGAAAUCACAUGGUUCUCAGCUUUUUCUGCCUGACUUAUUUCACUUAGCAUACUAUUCCCAAGGUCCACCCAUGACCUGUCACUUUAGACUCCCUACUUGUAAGACACCUCUCCAAACUUGUAUUCUCAUCCAAAAGUAAUAUUUUAUUCGCCUGGGUUCUCAUAAUAUCUUAUGGGGACCAAUCUCCUGGCAUCAGUCACUUGAUGAUAGUUCCUGGUUACAUGUCUAGUUUCCCAUGCUAGACGGUGAGCUCAUUAUGCUUUGUCCAUCUGCAUCUCCUUGGCACCAACACAGCGCCUCGUACAUAGCAGGCACUAAAUAAAUAUUUAUUAAAGCAAAGCAAUGCUGGCUGUUUUUGUCUUUAAUAUUGAAGUGCUGAUAAAAUUAGUGUCUGGCACACCUCAUGAAAAUGUUGGUGGAACUGAGGUGUGUGGGGACAGUCCCCUUUGAGGGCACUUGCUGCUACCUUCUUGCAGUGACUCGUGAUGGGUGGUCACAGCUGUCAUCCCAAGCCCCAGCAUGUGAAGCUGGGUUGGGCCUCUCCAGACAAAUUCUCCAGCUUGCUUUAAAUUGGGGAGUCUGUCCGUUAGGAUGUCCUGCACCUUAAGGAACAGGAAAUCCUGACUCAGCUGGGCUGGAAGGGAAGUUUAUCUCACAUGAGAAGUCAGGAGGAGCACGCCCCUCUGCUUGGCUCAGUCGGCUCGCGGCAGGGCUGUGGGAGGACCACGUGACGGCCGCUUACUGGGAAAUGGGACACACACUCAAAUGGGACGCGCUCUGGGAGGAGAGGACCUCCCGUCUGUGCCUCAAGUGCAUUCGCCAGAAGACCCACCCCAAGCCUCCGGCAGCCUUCCCCUCAGGGCUCACUGGCUACAAGGGCUUCAUGCGACUUAGAAAACCAGCAGUGACGGGAACGGCUUAGACCAUGCCCGUGGCUGUGUGGAGGACCAUUACCUCCUUUGUGCGGGCAAAAGGGAUAAAAUUAGAAAGAAUACACAUAACCAAUGUUUGCUUUUAGUUGUGUGUAUAAUCUCUUCACCCAGUGUAGCCAGCCAACAUUUUUCUCUUGGUAAUCAGUAUUUGUUGGGCUUUGGUUCCAAAAUACUGUUUUUCUUCAGGCUACAUGCAUUUCCAAAUUCAAAGUUGAUAAGACUGGUAGGCACUUGUAUUAUGUCAUUAACUGCCUCAGACCUGAUAAACUCCUUAUCUAAUGGUGCAUGUCAAAACAGUAAGAUGAGAUGCCUGCUGGCGCUGAAACCGGUUUGGCUCAGUGGAUAGAGC